AAAAUCAUUUUCCUCUGGACUAUAGCUGCAUACUAUCACAGAACCUGUAAGGACAUCUAUCUUUACCAUAGAAAAUAAGGUUUGAAUUUACAGGUUAUUUAGACUUAAAAUGUGUCUUGUUAGAAGAACCAAAGAAAUAUGGUUGAAAAUAUGUUGGGUGUACCUCUGGCAAUACAGGAGUUAUGUCAACAGAUCUUUGGCAGGCUCGGAUUAGAGGUGCUCAGAUGCUAGCCCACGGAAUGAUUUGAGGUUCCCACCUAUGGAAAUGAAAAUGCAUAAAUGUCAUAACUCUUCAUGUGUGUCGCUGGGCAGGCAACUCCUGUUCCAUCCCUCACUCUGCCACCCGGGAUCUGAUGUGGUGUCACCGACCCAAUUAUCUAAUCUUUGUGUGGAUGCGUCCUCUUCCAGUGUGUUUUUCCUCUUGGAGAAGUGACCCACCUUGCACUGGCUGGUCCUAGGAUUCAUAUCAGAUUUCGAGGACCGCAAGAUUUGAUUCCUCCCUUCUUUCCAGUAUUUUAUGAUGAUUUGACACUGCUGAGAAACACCCAGGCACCUGUCGUUUUAUUACAGAUGCUACUGUGUCGCGGUAGCUCUUUGGAGGUAGUACAGCAAUAUAAUAAUCUUUUUGCCUUCUUAGUGUCUCCAUUUUUAAUAUGUUUUGGUUCCUAUGAUGCAUCUAUAUAAUAAGACUUCAAUAGAAAUAAUUGAAGAACAAAGUCAAGAAGAUGAAUUAGCAUCUUGUUCUAAUAUCUGUCACCUUAUGACCUUUUGUAUUUAUAAUUUUUGGUAAUUUAUAACUCAAUUUAUUUGCACUUUGACCUCUUUGUCUAUCAUAGCAAUAGCCAAAAUUAUAUUUGCCAUAUUUUGGUUGGAUCUUAAUUCAUAUCUCUGUUCUAUUGUAUAUGUGUCAGUGUCAUAACUUUUCUAUCAAGAAUAUUCCUAUCAAUGGUGAUGGAAAAUAACAUUUACAAAAUGCCUGCUACUUUGUACGAAUGCUUUUCUUUGGUCUUCACAGUAGCCUGAUGUUCUCAUCUCUAUUUCACAGCUGAGAAUAUGGUGACCCACAGAGGUCCAAGUACCCCACAAUUGGGAAGUGGCAGAGCCAGCAGUAAGCCGAGCUCUGGAGAGCGUGGCUGUGCUCUUUCCAGCGUAUCAAGUGGCUCUCUGAUGACAAGAUCUGUGUGGUAUUUGAAAGGAACAUUAGCAGGGAUAUGCUUAAGCUUGGCAAUGCCUUCUUAAUGAAUGCAACUCCCCACAUGUGUUCUCUGGUAUUUGCAGGUUGCAGACUGGAGAAGGUAUCUCUGAUUCUUACUUUUGUCAUCUGUGAAAGCAGCAUCAUAGGCAUUCUGCAGAACUCUCGCGCGAUCUGACGGAGGCUGCUAGCUGAUCUUGGCGAAUACCUCACAAACAACCCGAGACGGAAAUGAAGUUCCACUCGGAAGGCAGUCACAAUUCAGCGAUCUUAUCCCAGGCAUGCCUCCUCUUGGCGUCUAUGCCACAGACUCUGGGAAGCAGUUUACACAUUUACUCCUGUGCUUUUUAAGGAGCUUUUAUGAUCUGCCAAGUGGACAAAUGUCAACAGGCUUUAAGGAUCGGUUUACCAGGAUUUCUGUCUCUUGUGAACAGAUUACUGUAGCUUCGAAUAAAGCACGCGUAAGCAAGCCCCAGGGUCUUGAAGGAAAAUGCAGUACCCACCAGACUGGUUUGAGCAGGAGUUCUAGCACAGGUGCCUCCUGUCACCGUAAUUCCUGAAAAGCUAACACUUUCCUGCCAUUCAAAUGUUAUGGAAAGGUCCCCACAGCGCCUUUCUGUACUGCCUGUGUGCAGGCAGGUAAGAAGGGGGCUAGGUAUUAGCACUCAUGGGCUUGUGGCUCUUGUAGGUAUAGUGGUUCCCAUAUGUUCCUGCUAUGCUUUCUGGUGGACUUGUAAAUGGCACUGAUCCUGGAGACCUUGAACUUGUCAGUCUAGUCUCAGGACGGCAUCAAUUCUCCGAACCAAGUAGCAGAAGUGGAGUUAUCAACGGCUAGUGGGAAUUGGGCUGAACAUCUCUGUAAAGCCUCUAGAUUUCCAGCUUGCUCUUCUUUGUAAGAAGAAAAACAAUGUCACAUCAUGACAAGUGUGUCAUUUCGUUUCUAUGUUGUGGAAGUCCGUGAGCUUCGAGUCUGGUCCUUCUUGAUUUUACUCUUCAAGUGAUGAGAGAGAAGAUGGGCUCUCUUUCUUCUUCUGCCUUUUCUCACAACGAUACUCCUGACUCAGCCACUAGAAUAGGGACCAGACACCCAUUCCUAUUUGGAAGAAUGGACAAAGAAGAAACCAAAGGGACUCAGGCUCACCCUGCCUCUGCCCAGAGCUACCAUUAGAACUAGCAGGCAGAUUGUCUCUGUGUCUGUUUAUCAGCCCAGGACUAUUGGGAUUACCAGGCUAGUUCAACUAUUUAUUCUCUUCCCAGCAUUGAGUGCUGGGUUAAAAUGUGCCCAGAAACCCACAGCUCUCUAUGUGGGUUCAGCUUCACCCAUCUAUGUAAUGUAGCUUUGUGUCCAUAAUUACAUCUUCUAUGCUCUCGCUUUCUAAUUUUAAAGAAAUAACGCAAUUUCUGUUUAGAAACAGAGUACAAAUGUGAAAAGAGUCCCCUUCCUAAGUUUGUUAGAAAGGUGCAUUUAGAAGCAUACAAAAACCUCACCCAGAACCUAGAACACAGGCUUCCCACUCAUAAAACCCCUGCAGGCUCCUUUCCCAUCUGAGGGAACACAGGAUAGCAGUUCCUGCCUGUGUGGGCCGCUGACAACUCCCACUGACUCUUUCAAAGCACAUUCUAAACCCUGCUGGACUUGCCCCAGACAUAUGACAUGGCUGAUCAGGCUGAACUGUAGCUUUCAGCUCUGCCUUCAAUCGGUUCCCCUGUGUAGACAUUCUGUGUGAUACCAACCCUCCACUUAAGGGAGAAAGAGGCUGUUUGGGCAUGGGUAUUAUUUCCUUAAAUGCAGAAUAGAACGGCAGCAGCAGGAUAUUUCAGUGAAAUAUCUCCUUUGAACUGUCCUAUUCAUUUGCUCUUUUAUGAAUUCACAGCUAGGGGUUUCCAGCGGAUCCAUUUGAUUGCUCUCAUGUACAGAGUGUAGAGACAGCAAAGAGGGGAUUCCUGUAGAUUCUUAACUUAUUAACAAAGGCUGCUAUGACUGUGGCAAGCCCCCAAACUGACAGCCAGUUUCAGUCCUUUGUAGGGGUUAAGAGAGGUGGACAAGCUGGGAGAGAGGAGUAGGAAGUUUUAAUAGAGACACCGAAUCUGCAGAGCGAAGGAUCAGGAAGCACUAGGGGGAAGAGAGGCAUCACUCAGAGACUGGAAGACCUUGGCUCAUCCUGCAGAUCCCUGUUAGAGUGAAUGCUCUGAGUUCUGAGAAUCCGCUGCUUCUCUUAUGCCCCGAGUCCAAGCUUCAGGAUACCUCAGGCUUGGGGUGGUCAACUCUGUGCUUGUGAGCAUACCUCAUAACUUACUUUGUGGUUAUUUUAAUUUGUUAAAAGGCCACACAUGACAAUACUGAUGCCUAUACAUCAGCAGGAUUGUUUUGAGGUUGUCCCUUCUAAAUGGAGGGCUGUAAAAUAAACAAUGCCCUUAUCAACACUUGUUUUCAGUGGGAAUCUCUAAUAGGAUAUUCUUAAUUUCACAUGGUGGGGGAUUUUGGAGAUAGAAAUGAAAAAACAACAAAAAAGCCUGGAGAGAUGGCUCAGCAGU
Molecule: long non-coding RNA, 3727 nt
Organism: Mus musculus (house mouse)
Lineage: Eukaryota; Metazoa; Chordata; Mammalia; Rodentia; Muridae
Product: predicted gene, 46478
Exons: 3
Source: RefSeq, a predicted model, not a curated record